This 517-nucleotide ribosomal RNA is filed under the name uncultured bacterium. RNAcentral describes it as "bacterial SSU rRNA". It matches the Rfam family "Bacterial small subunit ribosomal RNA", at positions 32 to 576 of the family's 1533-position model. The record is from RNAcentral.
AAGGGCGGGGUGCCUUAUGCAUGCAAGUCGUACGGUCCCGAUUUAUCGGGAUAGUGGCAAACGGGUGAGUAACGCGUAAGUAACCUAUCCCUAAGUAGGGAAUAACUCUGAGAAAUUGGAGCUAAUACCUUAUGUGGCGGUGUUGGUAAAGCAGCAUCACUAAAGCCUUCGGGUGCUUGGGGAGGGGCUUGCGUCCGAUUAGCUAGUUGGUAGGGUAAUGGCUUACCAAGGCGAUGAUCGGUAGCUGGUCUGAGAGGACGGUCAGCCACACUGGGACUGAGAUACGGCCCAGACUCCUACGGGAGGCAGCAGCAAGGAAUUUUGGGCAAUGGGCGAAAGCCUGACCCAGCGACACCGCGUGGGGGAAGAAGGCCCUUGGGUUGUAAACCCCUUUUCUCAGGGAAGAAUAAUGACGGUACCUGAGGAAUAAGUCUCGGCUAACUACGUGCCAGCAGCCGCGGUAAUACGUAGGAGGCAAGCGUUAUUCGGAUUUACUGGGCGUAAAGAGGGCGCAGGU